AAAUUUAACAGGAGACAGAAAAGCUCUCACAUCUAUCAGAGGAGCAGUUAGCUGAUCAAACAUCAAUUACUUCUGGAAAUGAGAGAGAAAUAACUGAAGAAUUAGAACCAGAAGGAAGUUGAACAAUCUGGAUUAAAGUUACAUCACUUGGUUUUACGAAGUCAUGAAUUACAUCAAAUGAAACAAUACAGCAGCUGAGUGUAGAAUACAAAUAAAACAAUUUCCCUGCAGAGGACACUGCAUUGUCACUUCCAAACCCAACGGGUGGUCAGAGGAGUGACUGUAACUACAAAACUGUGCUGACUGAUACCCCAGAAGAUGAGCAGAACUUGAAUGUGAAGAUACUGAUUUUGCUGAAUCUGUUUGAAAAAGAUAUUCCAGAAUCAAAGAAAUACCAUUGAACAUGACAUUGGUGUAAAACCAAUACUGUGAAGUCUGCUCUAAAGUUGACAGUUCACUGAGUGAUUUGUUCAAGAAUAUACAA
RNAcentral lists this long non-coding RNA (484 nucleotides) under Lonchura striata (white-rumped munia). RNAcentral describes it as "domestica (Bengalese finch) lncRNA (ENSLSDG00000015484.1)". The record is from RNAcentral. Lineage: Eukaryota; Metazoa; Chordata; Aves; Passeriformes; Estrildidae.